Molecule: non-coding RNA, 381 nt
Organism: Pantherophis guttatus
Lineage: Eukaryota; Metazoa; Chordata; Lepidosauria; Squamata; Colubridae
Source: RefSeq, a predicted model, not a curated record
UUACAUUUUUUGACUUUUCAAUUGCCAGAAAAAUAACACAAGGUGUGAGAACUUUAAUCACAUCAGAGUUAAUGUGCCAGAUGAGAUGCCUUUGGAAGAUAAGUGAUAACAGAGGAUAUUUUUACCCAUCAGAACUAAUUUAUAGUCCUGGGAUUUCCUGGUAGUCUGCUAUCAAGAUUCAAACAGUCCUGGGAUUCAGUCCAGUUUAGCUUUUCAAGGUCACCUAGAUGGAAUGGGACAACUUGGUACAGCCAACCCGACACAACCAACUUGCUACGGGACAACUUGCCAUGGCCAACUCCCUGUGGGACAGUUCACUACAGGACAAUUCAACAAUUCAAUUUAAAUAUUUAAAAUAAUUAAAAAAUACUUUCACAUUUC